RNAcentral lists this ribosomal RNA (403 nucleotides) under Verrucomicrobiota bacterium. RNAcentral's name for it is "Verrucomicrobia bacterium partial 16S ribosomal RNA". It matches the Rfam family "Bacterial small subunit ribosomal RNA", at positions 355 to 776 of the family's 1533-position model. The record is from RNAcentral. Lineage: Bacteria; Pseudomonadati; Verrucomicrobiota.
UGGGGAAUAUUGCACAAUGGGGGAAACCCUGAUGCAGCGCCGCCGCGUGAGCGAAGAAGGCUUUCGAGUCGUAAAGCUCUGUCCUAUGAGAAGAUAAUGACGGUAUCAUAGGAGGAAGCCCUGGCUAACUACGUGCCAGCAGCCGCGGUAAUACGUAUGGGGCGAGCGUUGUCCGGAAUUAUUGGGCGUAAAGGGUACGUAGGCGGUUUUUUAAGUCAGGUGUCAAAGCGUGGAGCUUAACUCCAUUAAGCACUUGAAACUGAAAGACUUGAGUGAAGGAGAGGAAAGUGGAAUUCCUAGGGGAGCGGUGAAAUGCGUAGAUAUUAGGAGGAAUACCGGUGGCGAAGGCGACUUUCUGGACUUGUACUGACGCUCAGGUACGAAAGCGUGGGGAGCAAACAGG